RNAcentral lists this ribosomal RNA (613 nucleotides) under Salmonella enterica. Its description in RNAcentral is "partial 23S ribosomal RNA". It matches the Rfam family "Bacterial large subunit ribosomal RNA", at positions 653 to 1262 of the family's 2925-position model. Lineage: Bacteria; Pseudomonadati; Pseudomonadota; Gammaproteobacteria; Enterobacterales; Enterobacteriaceae. The record is from RNAcentral.
CCGAAUAGGGGAGCCGGAGGGAAACCGAGUCUUAACCGGGCGUUAAGUUGCAGGGUAUAGACCCGAAACCCGGUGAUCUAGCCAUGGGCAGGUUGAAGGUUGGGUAACACUAACUGGAGGACCGAACCGACUAAUGUUGAAAAAUUAGCGGAUGACCUGUGGCUGGGGGUGAAAGGCCAAUCAAACCGGGAGAUAGCUGGUUCUCCCCGAAAGCUAUUUAGGUAGCGCCUCGUGAAUUCAUCUCCGGGGGUAGAGCACUGUUUCGGCUAGGGGGCCAUCCCGGCUUACCAACCCGAUGCAAACUGCGAAUACCGGAGAAUGUUAUCACGGGAGACACACGGCGGGUGCUAACGUCCGUCGUGAAGAGGGAAACAACCCAGACCGCCAGCUAAGGUCCCAAAGUCAUGGUUAAGUGGGAAACGAUGUGGGAAGGCCCAGACAGCCAGGAUGUUGGCUUAGAAGCAGCCAUCAUUUAAAGAAAGCGUAAUAGCUCACUGGUCGAGUCGGCCUGCGCGGAAGAUGUAACGGGGCUAAACCAUGCACCGAAGCUGCGGCAGCGACGCUUAUGCGUUGUUGGGUAGGGGAGCGUUCUGUAAGCCUGUGAAGGUGUGUC